UACAGAGGGGGCAAGCGUUGUUCGGAAUUACUGGGCGUAAAGGGCGCGUAGGCGGCCUGUUAAGUCGAACGUGAAAUCCCCGGGCUCAACCCGGGAACUGCGUCCGAUACUGGCAGGCUUGAAUUCGGGAGAGGGAUGCGGAAUUCCAGGUGUAGCGGUGAAAUGCGUAGAUAUCGGGAGGAACACCAGUGGCGAAGGCGACUACCUGGCCUGUUCUUGACGCUGAGGCGCGAAAGCUAGGGGAGCAAACGGG
RNAcentral lists this ribosomal RNA (253 nucleotides) under uncultured bacterium. Its description in RNAcentral is "partial 16S ribosomal RNA". It matches the Rfam family "Bacterial small subunit ribosomal RNA", at positions 524 to 776 of the family's 1533-position model. The record is from RNAcentral.